This 301-nucleotide ribosomal RNA is filed under the name uncultured bacterium. RNAcentral's name for it is "partial 16S ribosomal RNA". It matches the Rfam family "Bacterial small subunit ribosomal RNA", at positions 509 to 807 of the family's 1533-position model. The record is from RNAcentral.
CAGUCGCCGCGGGAAUACGAAGGGGGCUAGCGUUGCUCGGAAUGACUGGGCGUAAAGGGCGCGUAGGCGGCGACCAAAGUCAGGCGUGAAAUUCCUGGGCUCAACCUGGGGGCUGCGCUUGAUACUUGGUUGCUUGAGUGGGGAAGAGGGUCGUGGAAUUCCCAGUGUAGAGGUGAAAUUCGUAGAUAUUGGGAAGAACACCGGUGGCGAAGGCGGCGACCUGGUCCUUGACUGACGCUGAGGCGCGAAAGCGUGGGGAGCAAACAGGAUUAGAUACCCCCGUAGUCCCUGUCUCUUAUAC